RNAcentral lists this ribosomal RNA (1066 nucleotides) under Staphylococcus aureus. Its description in RNAcentral is "partial 23S ribosomal RNA". It matches the Rfam family "Bacterial large subunit ribosomal RNA", at positions 1487 to 2550 of the family's 2925-position model. The record is from RNAcentral. Lineage: Bacteria; Bacillati; Bacillota; Bacilli; Caryophanales; Staphylococcaceae.
CGAAGCGUGCGAUUGGAUUGCACGUCUAAGCAGUAAGGCUGAGUAUUAGGCAAAUCCGGUACUCAUUAAGGCUGAGCUGUGAUGGGGAGAAGACAUUGUGUCUUCGAGUCGUUGAUUUCACACUGCCGAGAAAAGCCUCUAGAUAGAAAAUAGGUGCCCGUACCGCAAACCGACACAGGUAGUCAAGAUGAGAAUUCUAAGGUGAGCGAGCGAACUCUCGUUAAGGAACUCGGCAAAAUGACCCCGUAACUUCGGGAGAAGGGGUGCUCUUUAGGGUUAACGCCCAGAAGAGCCGCAGUGAAUAGGCCCAAGCGACUGUUUAUCAAAAACACAGGUCUCUGCUAAACCGUAAGGUGAUGUAUAGGGGCUGACGCCUGCCCGGUGCUGGAAGGUUAAGAGGAGUGGUUAGCUUCUGCGAAGCUACGAAUCGAAGCCCCAGUAAACGGCGGCCGUAACUAUAACGGUCCUAAGGUAGCGAAAUUCCUUGUCGGGUAAGUUCCGACCCGCACGAAAGGCGUAACGAUUUGGGCACUGUCUCAACGAGAGACUCGGUGAAAUCAUAGUACCUGUGAAGAUGCAGGUUACCCGCGACAGGACGGAAAGACCCCGUGGAGCUUUACUGUAGCCUGAUAUUGAAAUUCGGCACAGCUUGUACAGGAUAGGUAGGAGCCUUUGAAACGUGAGCGCUAGCUUACGUGGAGGCGCUGGUGGGAUACUACCCUAGCUGUGUUGGCUUUCUAACCCGCACCACUUAUCGUGGUGGGAGACAGUGUCAGGCGGGCAGUUUGACUGGGGCGGUCGCCUCCUAAAAGGUAACGGAGGCGCUCAAAGGUUCCCUCAGAAUGGUUGGAAAUCAUUCAUAGAGUGUAAAGGCAUAAGGGAGCUUGACUGCGAGACCUACAAGUCGAGCAGGGUCGAAAGACGGACUUAGUGAUCCGGUGGUUCCGCAUGGAAGGGCCAUCGCUCAACGGAUAAAAGCUACCCCGGGGAUAACAGGCUUAUCUCCCCCAAGAGUUCACAUCGACGGGGAGGUUUGGCACCUCGAUGUCGGCUCAUCGCAUCCUGG